UGCAAGUGUUCGGGUUGCUGACUGCAGAG
This 29-nucleotide non-coding RNA is filed under the name Mus musculus (house mouse). The record is from RNAcentral. Lineage: Eukaryota; Metazoa; Chordata; Mammalia; Rodentia; Muridae.